AUUGAACGCUGGCGGCAGGCCUAACACAUGCAAGUCGAACGAGUGGCGGACGGGUGAGUAAUGUCUGGGAAACUGCCUGAUGGAGGGGGAUAACUACUGGAAACGGUAGCUAAUACCGCAUACCAUCGGAUGUGCCCAGAUGGGAUUAGCUAGUAGGUGGGGUAAAGGCUCACCUAGGCGACGAUCCCUACCUGGUCUGAGAGGAUGACCAGCCGCCCUGGAAAUGGGACACGGUGCAGACUCCUACGGGAGGCAGCGGUGGGGAAUAUUGCACGAUGGGCGCAAGCAUGAUGCAGCCAUGACGCGUGUAUGAAGAAGGCCUUCGGGUUGUAAAGUACUUUCAGCGGGGAGGCGUUACCCGCAGAAGAAGCACAGGCUAACUCCGUGCCAGCAGCCGCGGUAAUUC
RNAcentral lists this ribosomal RNA (406 nucleotides) under uncultured bacterium. RNAcentral's name for it is "partial 16S ribosomal RNA". It matches the Rfam family "Bacterial small subunit ribosomal RNA", at positions 30 to 526 of the family's 1533-position model. The record is from RNAcentral.